AGUAGGAUAAGCUAACACUAAGCUGUUGGGCUCAUAACCCAAAAAUAGAUUACUUCUUCCUAUUA
RNAcentral lists this transfer RNA (65 nucleotides) under Lampsilis siliquoidea. RNAcentral's name for it is "tRNA-Met". The record is from RNAcentral. Lineage: Eukaryota; Metazoa; Mollusca; Bivalvia; Unionida; Unionidae.